Molecule: unclassified non-coding RNA, 522 nt
Filed under: Hevea brasiliensis (rubber tree)
Lineage: Eukaryota; Viridiplantae; Streptophyta; Magnoliopsida; Malpighiales; Euphorbiaceae
Source: RNAcentral
AGAAUUUGCAUGAACAAAUGCAAACCCACCGCUCACAAAGUACUUGGUUACAUCGUUGCCUUCGUGAACUGAUAAGACGCCAGGCUUCAGCUCUGCAAUUGUCGCAACAUGCCCAGGCAAGACACCCAUUUGUCCUGUAGUAGCGGGGAUGAUAACCAUAUCAACCUCUUUACCGGAGAGUUCAGAUGAAUAAGGAAGGACAAAGUUGACACUGAGCUUAGAAGGGAUAGAUGACGGAGUUGCGGGCCUAGGUUUCAUGAAGGCAGAUGGAGUCAUAGGAGGUUCCGUGUUGGGUAUUACUUUCUUCCAAGCGUCCGAAAAAGUGGAAUCAACGCUGUUCGCCGCUGGCAGGUCAGUUGAAAAAGGGCGGCGCCACUUCAUCGUGGUGGCUCUAGUUAGAAGUCUAGAACUUUGUCGGAGCAUGAUUGUUGAUGGUUCAGGGGGCGGAGGUCGGCGGCGAUCGAUCGGAAAUGGUAGGGCAGGCGAGAUAAGUGAAAUUUGGGCUGUUGCAAAGAGGUUCAG